AACGAACGCUGGCGGCAUGCCUAACACAUGCAAGUCGAACGAGACCUUCGGGUCUAGUGGCGCACGGGUGCGUAACGCGUGGGAACCUGCCCUUAGGUUCGGAAUAACUCCCCGAAAGGGGUGCUAAUACCGGAUAAUGUCUUCGGACCAAAGAUUUAUCGCCUUUGGAUGGGCCCGCGUUGGAUUAGCUAGUUGGUAGGGUAAAAGCCUACCAAGGCGACGAUCCAUAGCUGGUCUGAGAGGAUGAUCAGCCACGCUGGGACUGAGACACGGCCCAGACUCCUACGGGAGGCAGCAGUGGGGAAUAUUGGACAAUGGGCGAAAGCCUGAUCCAGCAAUGCCGCGUGAGUGAGGAAGGCCUUAGGGUUGUAAAGCUCUUUGACCCGAGAUGAUAAUGACAGUACCGGGAGAAUAAGCUCCGGCUAACUCCGUG
RNAcentral lists this ribosomal RNA (433 nucleotides) under uncultured bacterium. RNAcentral's name for it is "partial 16S ribosomal RNA". It matches the Rfam family "Bacterial small subunit ribosomal RNA", at positions 29 to 507 of the family's 1533-position model. The record is from RNAcentral.